AAUGAUAAUAUUAUUAUCAAUAUUAUAUUAUUAAAACUGAUAUAAAAAUAUUAUAUUAUAAAUGAGGACGGGGGCCAGGUAAAUGACCUUGGAGGGCCGCAUCCGGCCCCUGGGCCUUAGUUUGGGGACCCCUGGUGUAGAUGCACCCGAGGAGAAAGGGGGGAGGAAAGGGAGGGUUGGGAUUGGGGCCUCACCAGCUGAGGCCACUUGGAGUUCUGACCACAUCCAGGAGCAAACCCAGAAAAGGAAUAAAAGCCCUAUGGAUGGGGAUUGGUGAGGAGACCCGUCUUGGAGAAGUGCAAACAAUGGAUCGGGGAUUAUGUUGCUCUUUGCUUUUGCUGCUUGCCCUGAAGGCAGCCGCUCCAAAGAGAGGGAAUGGAUCGGGACCCAUUUGGGGCUCCAGUUGGGGGGCCACAGUUGGGCCUUUGGGGUCUCCCCCUCCUCUGUUUGACUGCUCCCUGCAAGGGGUGGGAGAUUGGCCCCUCUCCCCAACUUCCAUGGAAAUGGUAGCCAACCGCAGCCAGAAUGAACAGGAAGGCCAUGUCGGAGAUUUUCGGAUUUGGGUCAUACUCCCCAUCUUCCUACUCUUAGCUUUUAUCUUCAUCUUAACAUGUUGCUGCGAAUGCCUCCUGAAACGAAUGAUAGCCGCCUUCGAACGAAACUGGAGGAGCAAUAACCUCCCCCUGAGGGUCUUCAACCAGAGCUCCAGCAAUGGCUACGGGGCUUUUGAAAACAUCGAAAGGCAGGCUCCUGAUAUAGAGGGAUCUCAAGAUAGUGCCGCUUCAGUGGAUGAUGGGAUCAUUUGGAUGAGGAUCCCUCCUCGGGAGAGAGGAGACUCUGAGGUCACCCUGGAAGCAGACAAGGUGGCUUAAGCCAUCCAAGGUCUGGCCAAAGCAGGACUACGUCCCAUUUUAGGCCAAAUCAAGGCAUCCUCUGUGACUGUUUUUAAUCCCAUGUUAUCGACUAGGUUUUCUUUUAAAUGUAAUGACUUCCCCCAAGUUGCCCUUUGCAAACGGGACACUGGUUUGACCCCAUUCUGCUCCAAUUCCAAAGUGUGUACGUUGGACUACAACUCCCAUCAGCCAGCAGUGAAGGAUGAUGGGAGUUCAAUAACAACAGCUAGAAUGUCUUCAUCACAGCCCUGGGCAAACUUUGGCCCUCCAGGUGUUUUGGACUACAACUCCCACAAUUCCUAACAGCCGGUAGGCUGUUAGGAAUUGUGGGAGUUGUAGUCCAAAACACCUGGAGGGCCAAAGUUUGCCCAGGGCUGCUCUAACAGCAUCUGGAGAGUUACACAAUUCCUAUCACUGGAAUGAAAUCCUUAAGAAGAGCCAAUGAAGACAUGAUGAAAUAUUGUGGCGUCCCAUGAUUUUAGGGCAGCUUAACUUUUAAAUAAUCCUCCUUGUGCAGAUGUUGAGUUUUUAUCUAUAUGAAACCCAUGAUGCAUCUAUUGUCAUAAGGCAGGGACAUGGAACCAUAUUUUCCCCGGAAGUUCCAUGCUGUAGCUUUUUAAAUACUUGAAUUGUGCACCUUCACGUCUAUGCACAGACCCCAAAGCCUCCAAGAGAAAGGCUUCUGAGAUGCACAAAACCGUUUUUGCACCGACACUUGUCAAUGGCAUGUUUUCAAAUGUACGCACCGAAGCAGCGAUUAAAAAUGUGUGGAACUAUUCGGCUAUUUGCCUCUUGAUGUAUUUCUGUCAACUUUUUUAAUUACUAAUUUUUAUUCAAGGAAAAAAAAAACAGUAAUAGAAGGCACAAGAAGGUUGUGUGUGUGUGUGUGUAUACACAAGAUACACACGCUUGGGUACCCGGCGUUGCCCAGGUUAUUUGAAAAAGUCUAUAUAAAUAUAACGUAUCUACCUCCGGUAGUGAA
This is a long non-coding RNA of Anolis carolinensis (green anole), 1875 nucleotides long. The record is from Ensembl. Lineage: Eukaryota; Metazoa; Chordata; Lepidosauria; Squamata; Anolidae.